GACGAACGCUGGCGGCGUGCUUAACACAUGCAAGUCGAACGGAAAGGCCCUGCUUUUGUGGGGUGCUCGAGUGGCGAACGGGUGAGUAACACGUGAGUAACCUGCCCUUGACUUUGGGAUAACUUCAGGAAACUGGGGCUAACACCGGAUAGGAGCUCCUGCUGCAUGGUGGGGGUUGGAAAGUUUCGGCGGUUGGGGAUGGACUCGCGGCUUAUCAGCUUGUUGGUGGGGUAGUGGCUUACCAAGGCUUUGACGGGUAGCCGGCCUGAGAGGGUGACCGGCCACAUUGGGACUGAGAUACGGCCCAGACUCCUACGGGAGGCAGCAGUGGGGAAUAUUGCACAAUGGGCGGAAGCCUGAUGCAGCAACGCCGCGUGCGGGAUGACGGCCUUCGGGUUGUAAACCGCUUUCGCCUGUGACGAAGCGUGAGUGACGGUAAUGGGUAAAGAAGCACCGGCUAACUACGUGC
RNAcentral lists this ribosomal RNA (469 nucleotides) under uncultured bacterium. RNAcentral describes it as "partial 16S ribosomal RNA". It matches the Rfam family "Bacterial small subunit ribosomal RNA", at positions 28 to 508 of the family's 1533-position model. The record is from RNAcentral.